RNAcentral lists this unclassified non-coding RNA (334 nucleotides) under soil metagenome. Its description in RNAcentral is "partial contains 5.8S ribosomal RNA, internal transcribed spacer 2, and large subunit ribosomal RNA". The stretch from base 1 to 120 matches the Rfam family "5.8S ribosomal RNA", at positions 35 to 154 of the family's 154-position model. The record is from RNAcentral.
GAUGAAGAACGCAGUGAAAUGCGAUAAGUAAUGUGAAUUGCAGAAUUCAGUGAAUCAUCGAAUCUUUGAACGCACAUUGCGCCCGCCAGUAUUCUGGCGGGCAUGCCUGUUCGAGCGUCAUUUCAACCAUCAAGCCCCAGGCUUGUGUUGGAGCCCUGCGGCUGCCGCAGCCUCCCAAAACCAGUGGCGGGCUCGCUAUCACACCGAGUGCAGUAGUUUACUCUUCGCUCAGGGCGUGUGGCGGGUGCUAGCCGUGAAACCCCCAACUUCUCAAGGUUGACCUCGGAUCAGGUAGGAAUACCCGCUGAACUUAAGCAUAUCAAUAAGCGGAGGA